AGUUUAAGUCUAGAGGUUAAAGUGCUGACAAGUCAGCACAAAAUUUAGCAUCCGGAAAUCUGAAACAUGAGCGUUUCCAAAGUCUUAGUUUUCCUCAUACAAAGGAAAUGAUGAAGAUUUUUCAUAAAAAAUUUGGCCUGCAUAAUUUUAGAACUAAUCAGCUAGAGGCGAUCAAUGCUGCACUGCUUGGUGAAGACUGUUUUAUCCUGAUGCCGACUGAUUCCAGCUACAUAUCUGACAGGUGAUAAGACUGACUCAGAAGCUACAAAUAUUUACCUCCAGUUAUCAAAAAAAGACCCAAUCAUAAAACUUCUAUAUGUCACUCCAGAAAAGAUCUGUGCAAGUAACAGACUCAUUUCUACUCUGGAGAAUCUCUAUGAGAGGAAGCUCUUGGCACGUUUUGUUAUUGAUGAAGCACAUUGUGUCAGUCAGUGGGGACAUGAUUUUCGUCAAGAUUACAAAAGAAUGAAUAUGCUUCGCCAGAAGUUUCCUUCUGUUCCGGUGAUGGCUCUUACGGCCACAGCUAAUCCCAGGGUACAGAAGGACAUCCUGACUCAGCUGAAGAUUCUCAGACCUCAGGUGUUUAGCAUGAGCUUUAACAGACAUAAUCUGAAAUACUAUGUAUUACCGAAAAAGCCUAAAAAGGUGGCAUUUGAUUGCCUAGAAUGGAUCAGAAAGCACCACCCAUAUGAUUCAGGGAUAAUUUACUGCCUCUCCAGGCGAGAAUGUGACACCAUGGCCGACACGUUACAGAGAGAUGGGCUCGCUGCUCUUGCUUACCAUGCUGGCCUCAGUGAUUCUGCCAGAGAUGAAGUGCAGCAGAAGUGGAUUAAUCAGGAUGGCUGUCAGGUUAUCUGUGCUACAAUUGCAUUUGGAAUGGGGAUUGACAAACCGGACGUGCGAUUUGUGAUUCAUGCAUCUCUCCCUAAAUCUAUGGAGGGUUACUACCAAGAAUCUGGCAGAGCUGGAAGAGAUGGGGAAAUAUCUCACUGCCUGCUUUUCUAUACCUAUCAUGAUGUGACCAGACUGAAAAGACUUAUAAUGAUGGAAAAAGAUGGAAACCAUCAUACAAGAGAAACUCACUUCAAUAAUUUGUAUAGCAUGGUACAUUACUGUGAAAAUAUAACGGAAUGCAGGAGAAUACAGCUUUUGGCCUACUUUGGUGAAAAUGGAUUUAAUCCUGAUUUUUGUAAGAAACACCCAGAUGUUUCUUGUGAUAAUUGCUGUAAAACAAAGGAUUAUAAAACAAGAGAUGUGACUGAUGAUGUGAAAAGUAUUGUAAGAUUUGUUCAAGAACAUAGUUCAUCACAAGGAAUGAGAAAUAUAAAACAUGUAGGUCCUUCUGGAAGAUUUACUAUGAAUAUGCUGGUCGACAUUUUCUUGGGGAGUAAGAGUGCAAAAAUCCAGUCAGGUAUAUUUGGAAAAGGAUCUGCUUAUUCACGACACAAUGCCGAAAGACUUUUUAAAAAGCUGAUACUUGACAAGAUUUUGGAUGAAGACUUAUAUAUCAAUGCCAAUGACCAGGCGAUCGCUUAUGUGAUGCUCGGAAAUAAAGCCCAAACUGUACUAAAUGGCAAUUUAAAGGUAGACUUUAUGGAAACAGAAAAUUCCAGCAGUGUGAAAAAACAAAAAGCGUUAGUAGCAAAAGUGUCUCAGAGGGAAGAGAUGGUUAAAAAAUGUCUUGGAGAACUUACAGAAGUCUGCAAAUCUCUGGGGAAAGUUUUUGGUGUCCAUUACUUCAAUAUUUUUAAUACCGUCACUCUCAAGAAGCUUGCAGAAUCUUUAUCUUCUGAUCCUGAGGUUUUGCUUCAAAUUGAUGGUGUUACUGAAGACAAACUGGAAAAAUAUGGUGCGGAAGUGAUUUCAGUAUUACAGAAAUACUCCGAAUGGACAUCGCCAGCUGAAGACAGUUCCCCAGGGAUAAGCCUGUCCAGCAGCAGAGGCCCCGGAAGAAGUGCCGCUGAGGAGCUCGACGAGGAAAUACCCGUAUCUUCCCACUACUUUGCAAGUAAAACCAGAAAUG
RNAcentral lists this small RNA (2023 nucleotides) under Pan troglodytes (chimpanzee). RNAcentral's name for it is "processed transcript". The record is from RNAcentral. Lineage: Eukaryota; Metazoa; Chordata; Mammalia; Primates; Hominidae.